AUGUGUAAUCAUACAUCUGAAUGACAAGUAUUACACUAAAGUUCUAGGCAUGCAAAGUGUGUGUUUGGUGCGCGUGCCAUCAAGUAGUUUUCGUGAUACUGGUGACAUAAUUAUAUGAUCUAUCUUAUUUGUGUGUCGGAUGUAUCAAAAUAUUCUACAUAUGCAUUGUGAUUCUUCUUCAGAAAGCGAAGUGCGCGUGCAGAAAACCCACUACCCUAUUUGGGAGAUUGAUACUCCUUUUGUCGAGUAACGACAACCAAUAUCUCUCCAUUUAAAUCUCUAAUUGCGGGACGGCAUCCCAAACUUGGUUCCCAUACAAAUAGGAACUACAAUAUUGUCAAUUAAUAUCAAGAUAUAGUGGGUAAAGAUUGGAGUCCAAUCUCUAACCAAUUCAUGUUUACAUAAAAUUGUUGAACUAACAUAAAAUCUUCAUUGUCCAAAUAAAUAGUAAACCCUACCCUAUCUCUAGCUACCUAGGUAGCAUUAGUCAGUCAUCAAGCUGUUAACGUAACUAACAAAAAAAAUAAAAAUUUCAUAACUAAAACCAAUACAUUUUAAGAAAUAAUUGCCAAUACCCAACUCACAAAAAACAAUAUUAUGUUAAUUCUCUCUCUCUCUCUCUCUCUCUCUCUCUCCUCCAUACAUAUAUCUUCAUGUAGACCCUAGUUCAAGAUCCAAAAUUAGUACCUAUAUGAAAAUGAACUAGUUCACCAGAAAUAUCAUGACAUUUGGGGGCAAGAAAAUGGGAGAAUCUUGUUCACGUACUCAAUCUACUCUUGUGCCUUAAGAUUUGAUCUAUUUUCAUGUCUAGUUGCACACCACCAUUCCUUCAGAGUGGUUUGUAAGACCAGCUACCCAAAAAAAAUCAAUUUCUGGGUUUGGUCCAUUAGCCAGGGAUUUUUAGAAGUGUCUCUAGAGGUUGUUCUGAUGUAGCUGGCAGUGAAAAAAAAUACGGUGUCUCUGAAAAUAGUUUCUAUAAUAGUGCACCAUUUGCAUGCUGUCCUUACAUAAGGAAUAAAUCUUGAAGCAAUUUUAAAAAAAAAUAUCAGUGUAAGCAUACUUUUUGAAAGAACGUAAGCAUACUUUUCAUUAUACUAUAAAAAAUAGUUAUCACAUUGGAAGCCACUCGCUCUGAUAUAUGUUAAUCUGUUUCUGAAAAGAAAAUUAAUUGUUUAGUACUUGGUCUACCUUACUAGAUGGCGAUUAGUCUUUCUUCAGGUGGUAUAUUUAUUCAAAAGAAAUAAUUCCUUUGAACCUAAUGUAACAAAAGAUCAUGGUGUUUAUAGGUGUUAGUGAAGUUUCAUGCAUGGUCUACAGUUCUAGCAGCUAAAAUUUAGAAGUAAUCAUGGUAACACUUUUGUCUACUUUUGGUGUUGCGUGUAUCAACAGCCUUUUUUCCUCUGUGAAACUGACAAGGUUGUCUGAACAAGUUCUCCUCAAUAUUUAAUUUGCUUCUUCAAUUUUAAGAUUCCCAUACGGACAAUAAAACUGCUCCAAAGUGAUAACAGCCUGAAAUUUUCAUGAAUGGAAAUCACACGUCAAAAAUAAGUGCUAUAAGAAUACGAUGAUCAAGCUAUGUAUGCAGCAGAUGGCCAUAUAUUGGCUGUAGACAUUAUGGAAUGUCAUACAGUCUAGUGUGAUCAAUACAUAAUGGCAAGCUAAUACUUAGAUUGUGGUCUAAUCUUAUUUAUUAAUUUUCCUAUUGCAUGACUGUCCAACAUUUAUUGGAGUUUAGUUGGCUACCGAAUUUUCAUGGUGCUUAUGAUAUAUCCUUGAACUCUGCUCAUUUUGUAUCUGGAACAAUAAAGGGAAAUAUUGUUUUGACAAAUCUAAUAAGUUUUAGGUAUAUAUCAGUUAGAAUGGGAAAGUUAGUGUUGAAAUGUGUUUCAGUGUGGAGGAUGUGAUUAGCUUAUGAAAUCUUGUAAAGACAUGGCUAUGUGCGGUCACAAGGCUAGCUGGAAACAAUUCCAUUUCCUAAAAAAUAAAAAUAAAAAAAGUGGAAAAGAAAGAUUUUUGAAAACAUGUGGUUGCAUGGCAUGCAUUCACACUAGAAGUGUUUUCUUAAAUGUCUUGAUACCAAAUCAGUAUACACACACACAUAUGCAUGUUGAUGUAUAUGUAUGACAAGUAUUUCCAUAAAAUUGUAGACAUCGAAAGUGUGUGUUUGGUGCGUGUGCCAUCAAGUUGACAUCAUGUUAUUGGCGACAUAAUUAUAUCAUCUGUCUAACUUGUGUGUCAGACAUAUCAACAUAUUCGAUGGGCUUAUUGCAAUUCUUAUCCACAAGUUGAAGUACGCGUGCACAAAACCCACUACCCGAGUUGGGAGGUUGAAUCUUAUUAUCGGGGUAACGACAACUAGUCUUAUCCUAGAUGUACCAAUAGUUGUAUCCCAUCCAUAUAUUCCAAUCUAGGAGGUGAUUACAAGAUAAACCACUUACCAUCUUCAUCUAUUUGCCUAGAUUAUCUUAUUUUUCAAACAUCUUCCCUUGUCUUAGGUCACAACUCAAUAAAAUGACAGUUCAUUUGAAUAACUUUUCCAUUGGAUUUUAAAUAAUAUACAUCCUGCCCUAUCCAAAUUCUUGUGACCACUAUUAUUUCAUCAUAUGACUUAGCUAUGGUUAAGUAGC
RNAcentral lists this long non-coding RNA (2627 nucleotides) under Sorghum bicolor (sorghum). RNAcentral describes it as "long non-coding RNA (SBIC_LNC009922)". Lineage: Eukaryota; Viridiplantae; Streptophyta; Magnoliopsida; Poales; Poaceae. The record is from RNAcentral.